CCAUUGAAAACGAAAUUGCCGAUGCAAAAGAGACAUUCACUGUACACUAUUCACACAUCUCAACUUCGUUCCCUUUGUUUCUCAUUUGAAACCUUCACAACUCUUAUUUCACAACUCAAUUUUUUUUCUACUAUUUUUCUUCCAAGCAAGCAUUCAUUUUCAUUUUCUCUAUUUUUUUUUCUUUUCUUUUCACAUUGUAUUCACAAAACAAAUGUUUCUCUUUUCUAAUUUUUUUUUCAAUGCUUGCUCGGUUAUUCAAGAGUUGUGGCACUUACCGAUUCUCAUUUUUG
Molecule: long non-coding RNA, 290 nt
Filed under: Lathyrus oleraceus (garden pea)
Lineage: Eukaryota; Viridiplantae; Streptophyta; Magnoliopsida; Fabales; Fabaceae
Description: Pisum sativum (pea) long non-coding RNA (PSAT_LNC001916)
Source: RNAcentral